RNAcentral lists this microRNA precursor (78 nucleotides) under Schistosoma haematobium. RNAcentral describes it as "mir-3492 microRNA precursor family". It matches the Rfam family "mir-3492 microRNA precursor family". The record is from Rfam by way of RNAcentral. Lineage: Eukaryota; Metazoa; Platyhelminthes; Trematoda; Strigeidida; Schistosomatidae.
AGCUUUUCGAAUCCGUGCUGAGAUUUCGUCACACACCAACCCAUUUGCGCUGUUCAGACGUCCAAGAUAAGUGAAGUG